This 245-nucleotide ribosomal RNA is filed under the name uncultured bacterium. Its description in RNAcentral is "partial 16S ribosomal RNA". It matches the Rfam family "Bacterial small subunit ribosomal RNA", at positions 30 to 271 of the family's 1533-position model. The record is from RNAcentral.
AUUGAACGCUGGCGGCAGGCCUAACACAUGCAAGUCGAGCGGUAACAGGGGAAGCUUGCUUCUCGCUGACGAGCGGCGGACGGGUGAGUAAUGUAUGGGGAUCUGCCCGAUAGAGGGGGAUAACCACUGGAAACGGUGGCUAAUACCGCAUAAUCUCUUAGGAGCAAAGCAGGGGAACUUCGGUCCUUGCGCUAUCGGAUGAACCCAUAUGGGAUUAGCUAGUAGGUGGGGUAAUGGCUCACCUA